Molecule: ribosomal RNA, 496 nt
Filed under: uncultured bacterium
Lineage: Bacteria
Description: partial 16S ribosomal RNA
Rfam family: Bacterial small subunit ribosomal RNA
Source: RNAcentral
GAUGAACGCUGGCGGCGUGCCUAAUACAUGCAAGUCGAGCGAACAGACGAGGAGCUUGCUCCUCUGACGUUAGCGGCGGACGGGUGAGUAACACGUGGAUAACCUACCUAUAAGACUGGGAUAACUUCGGGAAACCGGAGCUAAUACCGGAUAAUAUAUUGAACCGCAUGGUUCAAUAGUGAAAGACGGUUUUGCUGUCACUUAUAGAUGGAUCCGCGCCGCAUUAGCUAGUUGGUAAGGUAACGGCUUACCAAGGCAACGAUGCGUAGCCGACCUGAGAGGGGGAUCGGCCACACUGGAACUGAGACACGGUCCAGACUCCUAGGGGAGGCAGCGGUGGGGAAUCUUCCGCAAGGGGCGAAAGCCUGACGGAGCAACGCGGCGUGAGUAAGAAGGGUCUUCGGAUCGUAAAACUCUGUUAUUAGGAAAGAACAAAUGUGUAAGUAACUAUGCACGUCUUAACGGAACCAAAUCAAAAGGCCACGGCAAACUAGGG